UUGAGUCUCGUAGAGGGGGGUAGAAUUCCAGGUGUAGCGGUGAAAUGCGUAGAGAUCUGGAGGAAUACCGGUGGCGAAGGCGGCCCCCUGGACGAAGACUGACGCUCAGGUGCGAAAGCGUGGGGAGCAAACAGGAUUAGAUACCCUGGUAGUCCACGCCGUAAACGAUGUCGACUUGGAGGUUGUGCCCUUGAGGCGUGGCUUCCGGAGCUAACGCGUUAAGUCGACCGCCUGGGGAGUACGGCCGCAAGGUUAAAACUCAAAUGAAUUGACGGGGGCCCGCACAAGCGGUGGAGCAUGUGGUUUAAUUCGAUGCAACGCGAAGAACCUUACCUGGUCUUGACAUCCACGGAAGUUUUCAGAGAUGAGAAUGUGCCUUCGGGAACCGUGAGACAGGUGCUGCAUGGCUGUCGUCAGCUCGUGUUGUGAAAUGUUGGGUUAAGUCCCGCAACGAGCGCAACCCUUAUCCUUUGUUGCCAGCGGUCCGGCCGGGAACUCAAAGGAGACUGCCAGUGAU
This 517-nucleotide ribosomal RNA is filed under the name Escherichia coli. RNAcentral's name for it is "bacterial SSU rRNA". It matches the Rfam family "Bacterial small subunit ribosomal RNA", at positions 642 to 1159 of the family's 1533-position model. Lineage: Bacteria; Pseudomonadati; Pseudomonadota; Gammaproteobacteria; Enterobacterales; Enterobacteriaceae. The record is from RNAcentral.